This 270-nucleotide ribosomal RNA is filed under the name uncultured archaeon. RNAcentral describes it as "partial 16S ribosomal RNA". It matches the Rfam family "Archaeal small subunit ribosomal RNA", at positions 477 to 747 of the family's 1478-position model. The record is from RNAcentral.
CGGCACCUCAAGUGGUCAGGAUGAUUAUUGGGCCUAAAGCAUCCGUAGCCGGCUCUGUAAGUUUUCGGUUAAAUCUGUACGCUCAACGUACAGGCUGCCGGGAAUACUGCAGAGCUAGGGAGUGGGAGAGGUAGACGGUACUCGGUAGGAAGGGGUAAAAUCCUUUGAUCUAUUGAUGACCACCUGUGGCGAAGGCGGUCUACCAGAACACGUCCGACGGUGAGGGAUGAAAGCUGGGGGAGCAAACCGGAUUAGAUACCCGUGUAGUCC